Molecule: non-coding RNA, 25 nt
Filed under: Rattus norvegicus (Norway rat)
Lineage: Eukaryota; Metazoa; Chordata; Mammalia; Rodentia; Muridae
Source: RNAcentral
UGACACCACGUGUAUGCUAGGAAUG